This 487-nucleotide long non-coding RNA is filed under the name Amphimedon queenslandica. RNAcentral's name for it is "uncharacterized LOC109593623". The record is from RNAcentral. Lineage: Eukaryota; Metazoa; Porifera; Demospongiae; Haplosclerida; Niphatidae.
AAAGCAGUCCCACCAUCAGCAACAAAACCUCAAGAAUAUUCAACUCCUAUUAAUACUCCUUCAACAUUUGCUCCUCAAUUAAGUGAGACAAAGCCAGCGAUUGAUACUGAGCUGAUUCAAGACACACCUGGAUACACUGAAGUACCUGCCCACAUGAAAAAGAGUACUGGUAGCAAAAAGAAGCAAGAAACAAAAAAUCAAAAUGAUCCAUUGCCUCUUGCUCCCAAUGAUGAAACUGAGGCAACACCUGAUUCCCAGUUAGCGACACACCAGUAUGCUGAUUUAGAUGAAAUAAGAUCAAGGAAGGGACGUCCUCCUCCGCCUACGGUCAUUAAUGAUGUUGAGUAUUCAGAAGUGAUCACGUCUUAGUAGUUAGUAACAGUCAGAUCAUUACGUAUGUAGUGUUGUGUUCACCAGUUAUAUUUACUUAUUAUUAUUAUUAUUAUUUAUUGCCAUUUUAUCAAAAUAGUGUAUGUCACUAUAUUAC